This is a long non-coding RNA of Dromaius novaehollandiae (emu), 2526 nucleotides long. Lineage: Eukaryota; Metazoa; Chordata; Aves; Casuariiformes; Dromaiidae. The record is from Ensembl.
AUGUCUGCUAGAUGUCUUCCAAGAAAACAUCCAUGUCUUCUAGGAAAACAGCUCUGCUUGGCCUCCUGGCAAGCGUGGGAGCCRCGCAGGAGCAGACUCGCUAACAAGAUUGCUUUCUGCAAGAGCAUCCUGAGGUUUUCUAAUAACAGGAAGCGGCGGCAGCCGCUGCUCUGCCUGCCCUCGGGUCCGGCGGCGCGCUUGCCGGGUGUGGCUGCCUCCCGUUUCGAGGAACACCAGUGUCACGCGGGGCCCCGUGCUCAGCUCGGUCCCUGUGCCGCGCGCUGCUGCCUGAGCCCGGCACCUAGCUGCUUCCCUCCGCUCGGUCCCRUCCGGCCAGCCGAAGGGAUCCAAGGCAGCCGCUGCGCAGAGAAGGAAAUCCAGGGGCACGGCUGCAGCGGGGAAGGUGCCUUUCCAGGGAGGAACAGUCCCGAACUGGCGUCUGGAGAGAAACCGUGCUGCGGCGAUAGAAGUGAUCCCUGAAGACUCCGUGUUUGGUGAGCACCGUAGCACACCGCACGUGGGAACAGCGCGUGCSGCGCUCAGCCCCCUCUCCAGCGGCUUGCUCCUGGGCGCCGAGCUCCUUUGCUGCCAGGCCACGAUCCCACGCGUGGGAAACCCUCUGCGGCUCCUGUGUUCCCACCGGCUGCCAAGCUGGGAUGGCGUUCCUUUUUCCGUGGGCAACGCGAGUGACAGCAGUUACAGGUGUUUGGGGCUGCUCUGAGAGAAGCUCUUGCUGACACACAGGAGACAAGUCACGUUGCUUCUCAAACCCCGCGAGGAGAGAGAGGCCGCGGACCGAAGGCCWGGUUUAUUCCAGGAACAUCUCGUUCCCCAGGAAAAACACCUCCUUCUCAACGGAGCUUCAGGGUCCUGGGAGGACCUUAUGUGCCGCAAGCUUUAAAAGGGAGCGCGAGCCUUCCUGGGAGUUCCCGGGCGGAGGAGAAAGGGAGGCGUUGGUGGGUUUUUGUCCCCGUGUCACCCGUGCUGGGAUGCCAGUUUCUGCAAAUGGCAGGGUGAUACUCGCGUCUUCUGCAAAUGCUGUUMCCUGGGGGCAUCGCCUGUUCCCUGGAGCCUCUCGCCUGUGUUUUCCAGCCAGCACAGCUCAAGCUCAAGGCACCUGCAGUAGGAAACCUGGCACCAGGCUGGCUCAGAGGGACCGGAGUACCGGGGCCGGAGCUCCUGCUAACCCUGCACCCUUGAGAUAUUUCUGACAGCUAAAUAUAUAGCUAUCUACAGCUAUAAAUUAAACAGGGAUUAGGAACUGUUCACGUGGGGUGCAGUACCUGGGGUCUGCCGGCCGUUUGCAGCCCCGUUCAGCAGCUCACUCUAAAAAUUACUGCUUAAAUACGUCAUAGCUUAAAUACAUCAACUCAAAUGCACAUUUACAUCAGUAUAAAUCUACCGCUGAAGACUUGGUGAAAAGGGCACCCCUCUUCCUUUAUCCUGAUGCUUUUUGUGGAAGUAUCACCAUGUUUCUAGUUGGUUAGGGCACAGUCUAGAAGGGAAUAAGCCUUUAUGUGCUUCAUUAUUUUCAGAUAAAAAAGAAAAUCUCUUAGGGAUGUUUGAAAACAGAAAGGUUUUGAUAAUGUCUAAAACCAAAUGACAUGAAUUUUGAUAAUUUGUCAGCACUUGCAACUAGAAAUGCUAAUUCUGAUUUUUGGGAGCCGUUACUCGAUAUACACCUCUAAAGCAAAUGAAGUAAGUAUUCCUUUACAUGUAGUUACUCUGUUCAUUUCCUAUAUAAUGCCACAAAAUAGGGCCUAGAUAGACCCGCAUUUGAUCUUGUAGCUUCUCCUACAAGCGUUUUUACUUUUCCUUACUUGCCAGCGAAAGCUUCAACCUUAUCAGUGACGUUUCAUAUCAUCAGCCUCGAAGACCCAGAAACAUUGACGCAAGUGCCUAUGCAUUCAGAGCUGCAAGCAGCAUUCGGUGAGCUAAAAUACUUCUUUAUGAUAGUMUUAAAACCAAAAUUACCUGGCCUAGUAUGUGCUGGAAUUUAUGGUAGCRCAUUAAAGCUACGACAAACAACCUCUGACAAAUAAUUUGGCCGUAACUCUCGAGAACCCGCUGUGGCAAUGCAGUGGAAGUGGCAAGGGAUGCUGUUCAGCGGUGUGCGUUGCUUUUCAGUGCCAGACUUCGGAUUUUGAUUUCGACAGCCAGAAUGGUCUUAACCUACUUUAUCCAUUCUCUCUGAAAAAAAAAAGCUGUUGUUUUUUCCAGAAACUCUCUUGAUUUUAUAAAAUGUUUGAAACUUGAGAAGAGACUGGCUGUGCUUUGUCUCCAUGAGAACUGCUUCGUCCUGAUAGAUUUAGUAGAGCAUGUGUCUGUGCUCCAUGAAUCUUCCCCUAAGAAACUGCCGAAUGUAUUGUUUCCAAAUACUAAUUCUCUCAACUUCUUCAAAUCCCUUGGCACUUAUUAUAUUCAUUCCUCGCAAGCAGUAGUGAAAACAAAUGUUCUUUGUGUAAACAGACUUUGACAGAAUGUGGGAACCUAAAUAAAUAUGGUUAUAAUAUGAUAUAAAAAUCA